Molecule: long non-coding RNA, 301 nt
Filed under: Elaeis guineensis (African oil palm)
Lineage: Eukaryota; Viridiplantae; Streptophyta; Magnoliopsida; Arecales; Arecaceae
Description: long non-coding RNA (EGUI_LNC047249)
Source: RNAcentral
CCUUCCCUUUAAUUUGGCCUUGAAUGCCAAAGCCUUGGCAACAAGGGGCAGCACUCCUUUUCCCUUUCUUGGCUCUCCUAUGCAUGGCCAGACUGCCGGCACUUCGGCUGUGCCACCACCAUUGGCCACCGCCGACCCCACCCCUCCUCCCAUCUGGUCCCCUAAAGGAGUCCCAGUGAAACCCAUAGAUCGGCAUGUGAAGAGAGGAAGAAAGAAAAGAAAGAAGAAGAAGAAGGAGAGAGAGAGAAGAGAGAGAGAGAGAGAGAGAGAGAGAGAGAGAGAGAGAGAGAGAGAGAGAGAG